AGUGAACGCUGGCGGUAGGCCUAACACAUGCAAGUCGAACGGCAGCACAGUAAGAGCUUGCUCUUACGGGUGGCGAGUGGCGGACGGGUGAGGAAUACAUCGGAAUCUACUUUUUCGUGGGGGAUAACGUAGGGAAACUUACGCUAAUACCGCAUACGACCUACGGGUGAAAGCAGGGGAUCUUCGGACCUUGCGCGAUUGAAUGAGCCGAUGUCGGAUUAGCUAGUUGGCGGGGGAAAGGCCCACCAAGGCGACGAUCCGUAGCUGGUCUGAGAGGAUGAUCAGCCACACGGGAAGUGAGACAGGGUCCAGACUCCUACGGGGGGAAGCAGUGGGGAAUAUUGGGCAAUGGGCGCGAGCCUGAUCCAGCCAUACCGCGUGGGUGAAGAAGGCCUUCGGGUUGUAAAGCCCUUUUGUUGGGAAAGAAAAGCAGCAGGUUAAUACCCCGCUGUUCUGACGGUACCCAAAGAAUAAGCACCGGCUAACUUCGUG
This 492-nucleotide ribosomal RNA is filed under the name uncultured bacterium. Its description in RNAcentral is "partial 16S ribosomal RNA". It matches the Rfam family "Bacterial small subunit ribosomal RNA", at positions 29 to 507 of the family's 1533-position model. The record is from RNAcentral.